AUCCAAGGCAGGUCUUGCGGGUCGCCUAGUACGGGGACGCAGGUCACCAUCAUGGCGGUCCGAUUAGCUGUGAGGGGCUGUGGUGUUCUGCACGCAGCUGCCCGCAGAAGCUCUCUGGUCUCCUGCCGGAGGUGGUCCGGCAACUCGGCAGACACGGUGUACGAUGUGGUGGUGUCGGGAGGAGGCAUGGUGGGCGCUGCCAUGGCCUGUGCCUUGGGACAUGAUAUUCACUUCCAUGACAAGAAAAUCCUGUUGCUAGAAGCAGGUCCAAAGAAAGUGCUGGAGAAGUUGCCGGACACUUACAGCAACAGGGUCAGCGCCGUCUCCCCGGGCUCCGCGACCUUGCUCAGCAGUUUUGGUGCCUGGGACCACAUCUGCAGCCUGAGAUACCGAGCCUUUCGGCGGAUGCAGGUGUGGGACGGCUGCUCAGAGGCCUUGAUAAUGUUCGAUAAGGACAAUUUAGAUGACAUGGGCUACAUAGUGGAGAACGACGUCAUCAUGCACGCGCUCACUGAGCAGCUGGAGGCUGUGUCUGAUCGAGUGACGGUUCUGUACAGGAGCAAAGCUGUUGGCUAUUCCUGGCCUGGCCCCUUUUCCGUGGCGGACUCCAGCCCUUGGGUCCAUAUUACCCUAGGUGAUGGCAGCAACCUCCAGACCACGCUGUUGAUCGGUGCUGAUGGUCACAACUCCGGAGUCCGGCAGGCUGCAGGGAUCCAGAAUGUCAGCUGGAACUAUGACCAGUCUGCUGUCGUGGCUACGCUGCAUUUAUCAGAGGCCACAGAAAACAAUGUAGCCUGGCAGAGGUUUCUUCCCUCGGGGCCUAUUGCCCUGCUUCCGCUCUCAGACACCUUGAGUUCCUUGGUUUGGUCCACGUCCCACGACCAUGCGGCACAGCUGGUGAGCAUGGGUGAGGAAGAGUUCGUGGAUGCUGUCAACUCCGCCUUUUGGAGCGACGCGAACCACAGCGACUUCAUCGGCUCGGCCAGCGGCUUGCUGCAGUACGCUCUUGCCCUUCUGAAGCCCACCAGGGCCCCCGCCCGCCAGCUGCCCCCGAGCGUGGCCAGGGUGGAUGCCAGGAGCAGAGUGCUGUUCCCGCUGGGGCUGGGCCACGCGGCGGAGUACGUGCGGCCUCGCCUGGCGCUCGUUGGGGAUGCGGCGCACAGGGUGCAUCCGCUCGCGGGACAGGGUGUCAACAUGGGCUUUGGGGACGUCUCCAGCUUGCUGCGUCAUCUCAGCGCUGCAGCCUUCGAUGGAAAAGACUUGGGCUCCCUGAGCCACCUCACCUGUUACGAGACGGACAGACAGCGCCACAACACGGCCCUCCUGGCCGCCACGGACUUGCUGAAGAGGCUCUACUCCACCGGCGCCGCCCCGCUCGUGCUGCUCAGGACGUGGGGCCUGCAGGUCACCAGCGCCGUGUCCCCGCUCAAGGAGCAAAUCGUGGCCUUCGCCAGCAAGUGAGCGCUGUCUCCGGGAGACGGUGCUGAUGCAGAAAGAGCUUCCUGCCUCGUGACCCCGCCCACACUUCCAAGAUGUAGUUUAAUAAAUUGGCUUCACAUCGGAAUCCCCGUCCCUCUCCUGCUCUCUGUGCGCACGGAACCCAAGUGACUGGUGAUUUGCUGAGAGGAAAACGACCGCACGGGAGACCGUUCCCGUUCCCGUUCCCGAAAGGAGCUCUUUAUCACUACAGCAACAGUGUCGAGGGGCCGCCCCACCCCUUCGCUUGUUAGCACGCCUUUCUAGAGAGAAUUUAUUCUCGCGCGGGUCACAAACCUGUUUUUUUGAUAGAGUUAUUACAUCGUCAUCUCAGCACCGAACUUCAGCUCUACUUAUGGCUCCUCUCCGGGACACCAGUCUCUGUUCAGUAAUAAAAUAAGUAACCUUG
RNA transcript from Chinchilla lanigera (long-tailed chinchilla), 1885 nucleotides. It is a transcript of the gene named coenzyme Q6 monooxygenase, with no coding region annotated. The transcript is spliced from 13 exons. The record is from RefSeq and is a predicted model, not a curated record. NCBI's taxonomy places the organism in Eukaryota, Metazoa, Chordata, Mammalia, Rodentia, Chinchillidae.